CUUCUGGGUCUUCACUCUGAAAAUACCAGAUCUUGUCUGGUUUUGGAAACUAAGCAGAAGCAGACCUGAUUAUUACUUAGAUGGGAGACCACCAGGAAAUUCCAGGACACCUAGGAAC
Molecule: ribosomal RNA, 118 nt
Filed under: Anolis carolinensis (green anole)
Lineage: Eukaryota; Metazoa; Chordata; Lepidosauria; Squamata; Anolidae
Source: RNAcentral